This 254-nucleotide ribosomal RNA is filed under the name uncultured bacterium. RNAcentral describes it as "partial 16S ribosomal RNA". It matches the Rfam family "Bacterial small subunit ribosomal RNA", at positions 524 to 776 of the family's 1533-position model. The record is from RNAcentral.
UACGUAGGGGGCGAGCGUUGUCCGGAUUCAUCGGGCGUAAAGAGCUCGUAGGCGGUUCGGCAAGUCGGGUGUGAAAACUCCAGGCUCAACCUGGAGACGCCACCCGAUACUGCCAUGGCUUGAGUCCGGUAGGGGACCACGGAAUUCCUGGUGUAGCGGUGAAAUGCGCAGAUAUCAGGAGGAACACCGGUGGCGAAGGCGGUGGUCUGGGCCGGUACUGACGCUGAGGAGCGAAAGCGUGGGGAGCGAACAGG